RNAcentral lists this ribosomal RNA (325 nucleotides) under uncultured eukaryote. RNAcentral's name for it is "partial 18S ribosomal RNA". It matches the Rfam family "Eukaryotic small subunit ribosomal RNA", at positions 1470 to 1796 of the family's 1831-position model. The record is from RNAcentral.
CCCUUAGAUGUUCUGGGCCGCACGCGCGCUACACUGAUGCAUUCAACGAGCCUAUCCUUGACCGACAGGUCCGGGUAAUCUUUGAAUCUGCAUCGUGACGGGGAUAGAUUAUUGCAAUUAUUAAUCUUCAACGAGGAAUUCCUAGUAGGCGCAAGUCAUCAGCUUGCGUCGAUUACGUCCCUGCCCUUUGUACACACCGCCCGUCGCUCCUACCGAUUGGGUGUGCUGGUGAAAUGUUCGGAUCGGCCGUUUGUCGCGGUUUCCGCGUCAUGUGGCUGAGAAGUUCAUUAAACCCUCCCACCUAGAGGAAGGAGAAGUCGUAACA